This is a non-coding RNA of Pelobates cultripes (western spadefoot toad), 141 nucleotides long. Lineage: Eukaryota; Metazoa; Chordata; Amphibia; Anura; Pelobatidae. The record is from the annotation of a GenBank genome assembly.
UCCAGCGCACUCACCUAUCCACUAAACAGCAACUUCAAUGUUGAAAGAUUUUAUUUGUUUUUUUUAAAAAAACAUUUAAAAAAACAAAUAAAAUCUUUCAACAUUGAAGUUGCUGUUUAGUGGAUAGGUGAGUGCGCUGGA